AGAGUUUGAUCAUGGCUCAGAACGAACGCUGGCGGCAGGCCUAACACAUGCAAGUCGAGCGAGAUCUUCGGGUCUAGCGGCGGACGGGUGAGUAACGCGUGGGAACGUGCCCUUUGCUACGGAAUAGCCCCGGGAAACUGGGAGUAAUACCGUAUGGUGUCUUCGGACUAAAGAUUUAUCGCCAAAGGAUCGGCCCGCGUUGGAUUAGGUAGUUGGUGGGGUAAAGGCCCACCUAGGCGACGAUCUGUAGCGGGUCUGGGAGGAUGAUCCGCCACACUGGGACUGAGACACGGCCCAGACUCCUACGGGAGGCAGCAGUGGGGAAUUUUGGACAAUGGGGGCAACCCUGAUCCAGCCAUGCCGCGUGAGUGAAGAAGGCCUUCGGGUUGUAAAGCUCUUUCGGCCGGGAAGAAAUCGCGCUCUUUAAUAGAGGGUGUGGAUGACGGUACCGGACUAAGAAGCACCGGCUAACUACGUGCCAGCAGCCGCGGUAAUA
This 496-nucleotide ribosomal RNA is filed under the name uncultured Paracoccus sp. RNAcentral describes it as "bacterial SSU rRNA". It matches the Rfam family "Bacterial small subunit ribosomal RNA", at positions 8 to 525 of the family's 1533-position model. The record is from RNAcentral. Lineage: Bacteria; Pseudomonadati; Pseudomonadota; Alphaproteobacteria; Rhodobacterales; Paracoccaceae.